This 249-nucleotide ribosomal RNA is filed under the name uncultured bacterium. RNAcentral's name for it is "partial 16S ribosomal RNA". It matches the Rfam family "Bacterial small subunit ribosomal RNA", at positions 88 to 334 of the family's 1533-position model. The record is from RNAcentral.
UGGAUGAGUGGCGAACGGGUGAGUAACACGUGAGUAACCUGCCCCCUUCUUUGGGAUAACGCCCGGAAAACGGGUGCUAAUACUGGAUAUUCACUGGCCUUCGCAUGGGGGUUGGUGGAAAGGUUUGUUCUGGUGGGGGAUGGGCUCGCGGCCUAUCAGCUUGUUGGUGGGGUGAUGGCCUACCAAGGCUUUGACGGGUAGCCGGCCUGAGAGGGUGACCGGUCACAUUGGGACUGAGAUACGGCCCAG